Non-coding RNA from Schizosaccharomyces pombe (fission yeast), 1052 nucleotides. Lineage: Eukaryota; Fungi; Ascomycota; Schizosaccharomycetes; Schizosaccharomycetales; Schizosaccharomycetaceae. The record is from the annotation of a GenBank genome assembly.
ACUCACCUAACUCGUUCGUUCAAUCUACCAUUUUGAUAUUCCUACAAUACCGAACAAGGAAUUUCCACUACACCUAAUCGACUAAGCAAUUACACGACAGCACUAUAGAAACUAUAAGUACUAUUAAAAUCUCUAAAUACAUUUCUACAGUCGCUUUCUCGUACACUGAACUUUUGUUUCAUAUAUGUCAAUACCGAAGAAUUAUGAAUAAGGGUUUACGAAAACACCAACGGUUGGCUCGUACACAGUAUCAAACAAUAUUUAUGAUAAAUCAAUUGUAUAGAUACAUAAUGGAAAAAAGCCAAACAGCCAAACACAUUUUAACGGUAAGACUUUUGUUGACGAGCACGGGCACCAUGACCACCGAACUAAAAAAAAUCAUUAGUAACACAUUCUAAAAAAAAGAAACAAAUGUUAUGUCGUAUCGAGAGAUACAGUAUCAUUAACAUUCUGUACACGGAACAAGUUCGACAACACAAUAAAUCGUGCAAGAAAUCGAUUCCGAAGAUGUCAUGAACUUCUCUUCGUUUAGCACAUACCUUCUUGGGCUCCAUACGACGAGGAUCAGCAACCAACAAAGUACGGUCAUAAGUAAUGAGAGCCUUCUUAAGCUCAGCCUUGGAGUGUUCAUCAACGAACUUUUGGUAGUAAGCAACGAUGGCCUUGGAGAUGGCUUGACGAAUGGCAUAGAUUUGAGAAACAUGACCACCACCAGAGACACGGACACGAAUGUCAACACCGGCAAACUUAUCGGCACCAGCGACCAAGAUAGGCUCGUAGACCUUCAUGCGCAAAAUUUCGGGUUGAACAAGAGAGAGAGGGGCACCGUUGACCUUGAUCAAGCCCUUGCCGACCUUACAGUGGGCGACUGCUGUGGCAUUGCCUUUCUUUCCAAAGCACUGAACAGACUGCAUGUUGGCUCGUGGAUAGUUUUACUGGGUUGUAGUCCUGAAAGCCAAAAAAGUUUCGGCAUGGUUCCUGUUUGCAAAAACAGUCACACUGAAUUAGCAAAAGUUAUUUUGUUACGAUAAAAUAUAUUAUACGAAGCACUA